CACACACAACACUCUCACCCAUCACACACAGCACUCUCUCACACAUCAUACACAGCACUCUCACACACAUCAUACACAGCACUCUCACACACAGCACUCUCACACACAUCAUACACAGCACUCUCACACUCAGCACUCUCACACUCAGCACUCUCACACACAUCAUACACAGCACUCACACCCAUCACACACAGCACUCUCUCACCCAUCACACACAACACUCUCACCCAUCACACACAGCACU
RNAcentral lists this long non-coding RNA (244 nucleotides) under Pelobates cultripes (western spadefoot toad). The record is from RNAcentral. Lineage: Eukaryota; Metazoa; Chordata; Amphibia; Anura; Pelobatidae.